This 501-nucleotide ribosomal RNA is filed under the name uncultured bacterium. RNAcentral's name for it is "bacterial LSU rRNA". It matches the Rfam family "Bacterial large subunit ribosomal RNA", at positions 543 to 1045 of the family's 2925-position model. The record is from RNAcentral.
AUAGAACCUGAAACCGUGUGCAUACAAACAGUGGGGAGCGGACUUGUUCCGUGACUGCGUACCUUUUGUAUAAUGGGUCAGCGACUUACGUUCAGUAGCGAGCUUAACCGAGUAGGGGAGGCGUAGGGAAACCGAGUCCGAAUAGGGCGCAUAGUUGCUGGGCGUAGACCCGAAACCAAGUGAUCUAUCCAUGGCCAGGUUGAAGGUGCCGUAACAGGUACUGGAGGACCGAACCCACUAGUGUUGCAAAACUAGGGGAUGAGCUGUGGAUAGGGGUGAAAGGCUAAACAAACUUGGAAAUAGCUGGUUCUCUCCGAAAACUAUUAGGUAGUGCCUCACGUAUCACUCUCGGGGGUAGAGCACUGUCAUGGCUAGGGGGUCAUCGCGACUUACCAAACCAUAGCAAACUCCGAAUACCGAGAAGUGCGAGCGUGGGAGACAGACAUCGGGUGCUAACGUCCGGUGUCAAGAGGGAACAACCCGAGACCGCCACGCUAAGGU